Molecule: ribosomal RNA, 484 nt
Filed under: uncultured bacterium
Lineage: Bacteria
Description: partial 16S ribosomal RNA
Rfam family: Bacterial small subunit ribosomal RNA
Source: RNAcentral
AUUGAACGCUGGCGGCAGGCCUAACACAUGCAAGUCGAGCGGAUGAAGGGAGCUUGCUCCUGGAUUCGGCGGCGGACGGGUGAGUAAUGCCUAGGAAUCUGCCUGGUAGUGGGGGAUAACGUCCGGAAACGGGCGCUAAUACCGCAUACGUCCUGAGGGAGAAAGUGGGGGAUCUUCGGACCUCACGCUGUCAGAUGAGCCUAGGUCGGAUUAGCUAGUUGGUGGGGUAAAGGCCUACCAAGGCGACGAUCCGUAACUGGUCUGAGAGGAUGAUCAGUCACACUGGAACUGAGACACGGUCCAGACUCCUACGGGAGGCAGCAGUGGGGAAUAUUGGACAAAGGGCGAAAGCCUGAUCCAGCCAUGCCGCGUGUGUGAAGAAGGUCUUCGGAUUGUAAAGCACUUUAAGUUGGGAGGAAGGGCAGUAAGUUAAUACCUUGCUGUUUUGACGUUACCAACAGAAUAAGCACCGGCUAACUUCGUG